Molecule: ribosomal RNA, 474 nt
Filed under: uncultured bacterium
Lineage: Bacteria
Description: bacterial SSU rRNA
Rfam family: Bacterial small subunit ribosomal RNA
Source: RNAcentral
GACGAACGCUGGCGGCGUGCCUAAUACAUGCAAGUCGAACGCACUCUCGUUUAGAUUGAAGGAGCUUGCUCCUGAUUGAUAAACAUUUGAGUGAGUGGCGGACGGGUGAGUAACACGUGGGUAACCUGCCCUAAAGUGGGGGAUAACAUUUGGAAACAGAUGCUAAUACCGCAUAAAACCCAACACCGCAUGGUGUAGGGUUGAAAGAUGGUUUCGGCUAUCACUUUAGGAUGGACCCGCGGUGCAUUAGUUAGUUGGUGAGGUAAAGGCUCACCAAGACCGUGAUGCAUAGCCGACCUGAGAGGGUAAUCGGCCACACUGGGACUGAGACACGGCCCAGACUCCUACGGGAGGCAGCAGUAGGGAAUCUUCCACAAUGGACGAAAGUCUGAUGGAGCAACGCCGCGUGAGUGAAGAAGGUUUUCGGAUCGUAAAACUCUAGUUGUUGGAGAAGAAUGUAUCUGAUAGUAACUG